UUUGUUUUUCCCCUUAAUUUGUACUACAUUAUUAUAUAAUAAUUAAUAUUUAAAUAUUAACAUGCAAUAAUUUAAUAAGAAGAUUACGGAUGGACCGAGGGAAUAUAUUUUAUUGUCUCAUAAAAAAUUAAUAUUCUACACGAAUAUUAUUUUUAUAUUAUCGACACAAUUUUUUAUAUUUCACUCAAAAAUAUGUAUAUUUCAAACUAAAAUACUAAAUAAAUAUAUUAACAAGUUUAUACCAUUGUUAUCUUUUUUUUUGGUGUCUUUGAUUUUAAUUUGAAAUUAAAAUUUAAUUUUAAUAAUAUUUAUAUGUGACUUUUAUUUCAAAAAAAUAUAUAUUUAUUAAAAAUUAUAGAAUUUGAAUAUUACUAUUUUAUUUAAUAUAAAAAAACACACCAUUUAUUUCAUUAUUUAGUUUAACAAUAUGUUAAUAGGUAACAACAACAUACAAAGACCCCCCUCUCCCAGCUACCCAACCCAACUACCCCAACCAGUCCAUCCACCUCCAUAUCUCCGUGAUAUGGAGUUGGUAGUAUUAUUUUAAAUAAUACUACCUUCAUUUUAUAUACCAUGUUUGCUACACUGUAAAUACGGUAUUUUAAAAGUGAUGUAAUUAGUAGAUAAUUAAAAAUAUAUUAGUGAAAAUAAUUAUCUUAUAAUAUAAAUAAUUAUAAAUUAAGAUAACUAAUUAGUGUGAUACCAGACUUUCUCACUACUCAUUGGCCAAAAUAUAUUUUAUAUUUUAGGUGCCGGUAAAUUACUUAUAUAUUAAAUUGCUUAUAAUUUGGUAUAUACGUUACCUAUUUAUUAAUAAUAAAAUAUUAUCAUAAUUUAUAUGAAAUUCUAGUAAAAUACAAAUAAAUUUGAUAAAUUAUUUGGAUACUAGUGAUGUAAAUUAAAUAUAGAUUAUUUGAAAAUUUAUUGUAUUAAUUAAAUACAAAUUAAAAUAAAUAAAACAACUAAAUAAAUAAAUAAUAAUUAUGAAAAUAAUAAUAAUAAUAAUAAAAUGUAAGGCGGUGGGAUGGGGUAAUAACCUCGCCCCCACCUUAUCCAUUUCAAUUCAAUUAGAAGAGGACAGGGAGAAUAAUAAUAAUAAAAUGUAACCCCGUGGGCCGGGGUAAUAAACCCCACCCCCACCUUGUCCAUUUCAAUUCAAUUCGAAGAGGACAUGGAGAAAGGCAAACGCGGAAAAGAACAAAAAAAAAAAAUUUACGCCGAAUUCGUUAAAAGCCUAAUUCAUGUAUUUUUGUGUUCAUGAAUUAUUACUAUUUUAUUAAGUAACGGAAGUUUUGAGUAUAAAUAAUUAUUUAGUAAAUUGGGGUAAUAUUUGUAAUUAAUUGUUAUUAGAUACGAGACUGGAAUCAUUAAAAGGGCUAUAAAAGUUAGGAUUAUUGACGUUUUUGGCGAAUUUCAGGUAAGUAGAAACUCAUUUGCAACUACAAUGUAUAAUAUAUUAUUUUGUAAGUUAUUUAUGUUUGUUUGAUAAUAUGUGAAUAUCAGAAAGUUGUGAUUAAUAUUAUGUGAUUGUGUGGUUUGAGCCUGUGAGCUCCGUAUACAAAUUGGUUUCAGUAUGUGAGCUCAUUAUGUGAUAUGGUCGAACCUGUGAACUCUAUAUUUGAUGUUGAAGGAGUCUGUGAGCUCCAAAAUUGAUGUGGUUUGAACCAGUGAGUUCAAUAAUAUCUGUAUAUUGUGAAAUAUGUUGCAUUGCAUUUUCAUUAAACAUAUAUAUCAUGCAUUGAAAUGAAAUAAGAUGGUUUUACUAUGUUCGACCGCUGAUUAUACACCGAGGGCGGGAGAGACGACCUGGGGAAACCUGGUGUAGGCUACCUGGUGUAGGCCACCGUCUAUUGUGACUUUCCAUACAAUGCAUAAACAAUGCAUUCGGAAGAGGCGACUUGGAAAGAAGCGACCCGGGGAAACCUUACGAUGAGACCCGGUGUAGGCUACCUGGUGUAGGCCACCGUUUGAUUUGAAUAUAUGGAUAUUGAGCUCUUCCGGUGUAUAACAGUAUGUCUAGGGGCCCUGGAAAGUAUUUCAUAAAUAAAUUGGUAAUCCUGAUGAUAUAUGACUUGGUGGACAGACUGGAGUAGCAGUGGCGCUCUUACAGGCAUUUUGAGUUACCGUGUACAUAGAUGACGACCUACGGGCAGGACCGUGGCUUGUUUUGCUUCCGUUGUUCUACGGAGAUUUAGAAGUUGUAUGGUGUUGUUAUAAAUAGUAUGUCGAUUACGUAGUUUUUGAUAUGGUUUGAGAUCCUUUUGGUGAAUUUUAACAGGUUACCGUUGAGUUA
Molecule: long non-coding RNA, 2293 nt
Organism: Andrographis paniculata
Lineage: Eukaryota; Viridiplantae; Streptophyta; Magnoliopsida; Lamiales; Acanthaceae
Exons: 2
Source: RefSeq, a predicted model, not a curated record